RNAcentral lists this ribosomal RNA (300 nucleotides) under uncultured bacterium. Its description in RNAcentral is "bacterial SSU rRNA". It matches the Rfam family "Bacterial small subunit ribosomal RNA", at positions 496 to 795 of the family's 1533-position model. The record is from RNAcentral.
CGAAACUCGGGGCCAGCAGCCGCGGGAGUGCGGAGGGGGCAGGGGGUAAUGGGAUGGACGGGGCGUAAAGCGUGAGUAGGGGGGUCGAUAAGUCGAUUGUGAAAGCCCUGGGCGCAACCGUGGAAGUGCAGUCGAUACGGGGGAGCUAGAGUUCGGUAGAGGGUGACGGAAGUCCCGGUGUAGCGGUGAAAUGCGUAGAUAUCGGGAGGAACAUCGAUGGCGAAGGCAAUCACCUGGGCCUGAACUGACACUGAGACACGAAAGCAUGGGUAGCAAACAGGAUUAGAUACCCCUGUAGUC